This 77-nucleotide transfer RNA is filed under the name Clostridia bacterium. RNAcentral's name for it is "tRNA-His". It matches the Rfam family "tRNA". From Rfam's summary of the family: Transfer RNA (tRNA) molecules are approximately 80 nucleotides in length. Their secondary structure includes four short double-helical elements and three loops (D, anti-codon, and T loops). The record is from RNAcentral. Lineage: Bacteria; Bacillati; Bacillota; Clostridia.
GUGGAUAUAGCUCAGUUGGCUAGAGCGCCAGAUUGUGGCUCUGGAGGCCGUCGGUUCAAGCCCGAUUAUCCACCCCA